RNAcentral lists this ribosomal RNA (489 nucleotides) under uncultured bacterium. RNAcentral's name for it is "partial 16S ribosomal RNA". It matches the Rfam family "Bacterial small subunit ribosomal RNA", at positions 30 to 507 of the family's 1533-position model. The record is from RNAcentral.
UUGAACGCUGGCGGCAGGCCUAACACAUGCAAGUCGAACGGUAACAGGAAACAGCUUGCUGUUUCGCUGACGAGUGGCGGACGGGUGAGUAAUGUCUGGGAAACUGCCUGAUGGAGGGGGAUAACUACUGGAAACGGUAGCUAAUACCGCAUAACGUCGCAAGACCAAAGAGGGGGACCUUCGGGCCUCUUGCCAUCGGAUGUGCCCAGAUGGGAUUAGCUAGUAGGUGGGGUAACGGCUCACCUAGGCGACGAUCCCCAGCUGGUCUGAGAGGAUGACCAGCCACACUGGAACUGAGACACGGUCCAGACUCCUACGGGAGGCAGCAGUGGGGAAUAUUGCACAAUGGGCGCAAGCCUGAUGCAGCCAUGCCGCGUGUAUGAAGAAGGCCUUCGGGUUGUAAAGUACUUUCAGCGGGGAUGAAGGGAGUAAAGUUAAUACCUUUGCUCAUUGACGUUACCCGCAGAAGAAGCACCGGCUAACUCCGUG